RNAcentral lists this non-coding RNA (21 nucleotides) under Arabidopsis thaliana (thale cress). The record is from RNAcentral. Lineage: Eukaryota; Viridiplantae; Streptophyta; Magnoliopsida; Brassicales; Brassicaceae.
GGACCACUCAUUUCAGGACAC